UUAAGUUCAGCGGGUAUCCCUACCUGAUCCGAGGUCAAACCAUAGAUAAAAAAGUGUUUACCGGGCGAGCGGUACCCAACCCUCCAGAGCGGAAUGUUUUAACUACGCUAAGGAGCUGGGCGCCACCGCCUACGAGUUUCGGGCACGUCCUUUGACGGACGAGAGGCCCAACACCAAGCAGAAGCUUGAGGGUUUGAAAU
Molecule: unclassified non-coding RNA, 200 nt
Filed under: Helicosporium sp.
Lineage: Eukaryota; Fungi; Ascomycota; Dothideomycetes; Tubeufiales; Tubeufiaceae
Description: partial internal transcribed spacer 2
Source: RNAcentral